Molecule: non-coding RNA, 72 nt
Organism: Aethalodelphis obliquidens (Pacific white-sided dolphin)
Lineage: Eukaryota; Metazoa; Chordata; Mammalia; Artiodactyla; Delphinidae
Source: the annotation of a RefSeq genome assembly
UCCCUGGUGGUCUAGUGCCUAGGAUGCGGCACUUUUAGUGCCGUGGCCCAGGUUCAAUCCCUGGUCAGGGAA